This 403-nucleotide ribosomal RNA is filed under the name Actinomycetes bacterium. RNAcentral's name for it is "Actinobacteria bacterium partial 16S ribosomal RNA". It matches the Rfam family "Bacterial small subunit ribosomal RNA", at positions 355 to 776 of the family's 1533-position model. The record is from RNAcentral. Lineage: Bacteria; Bacillati; Actinomycetota; Actinomycetes.
UGGGGAAUAUUGGACAAUGGGCGCAAGCCUGAUCCAGCCAUGCCGCGUGAGUGAUGAAGGCCCUAGGGUUGUAAAGCUCUUUCACCGGUGAAGAUAAUGACGGUAACCGGAGAAGAAGCCCCGGCUAACUUCGUGCCAGCAGCCGCGGUAAUACGAAGGGGGCUAGCGUUGUUCGGAUUUACUGGGCGUAAAGCGCACGUAGGCGGACUUUUAAGUCAGGGGUGAAAUCCCGGGGCUCAACCCCGGAACUGCCUUUGAUACUGGAAGUCUUGAGUAUGGUAGAGGUGAGUGGAAUUCCGAGUGUAGAGGUGAAAUUCGUAGAUAUUCGGAGGAACACCAGUGGCGAAGGCGGCUCACUGGACAUUACUGACGCUGAGGUGCGAAAGCGUGGGGAGCAAACAGG